CGCUCAUCCAGAGGGGCAGAGGGAUACGGCCCGAUGAAGCCCCGGCAACCCUCCAGCCGGUCUCGUUACCGAUCACUGUUGAUCGUUCCGCGAGGCUCCCGGCUCGGGAAGGUGCCAAAUCCGUCUCACGACGAGAUGCGUCGUGAGGAAGAUGAGGA
RNAcentral lists this non-coding RNA (158 nucleotides) under Streptomyces sp. Its description in RNAcentral is "SAM-I sequence". It matches the Rfam family "SAM riboswitch aptamer (S box leader)". Rfam says of the family: The SAM riboswitch is found upstream of a number of genes which code for proteins involved in methionine or cysteine biosynthesis in Gram-positive bacteria. The SAM riboswitch acts at the level of transcription termination control. Lineage: Bacteria; Bacillati; Actinomycetota; Actinomycetes; Kitasatosporales; Streptomycetaceae. RNAcentral also lists the same sequence under 1 other name. The record is from RNAcentral.